GCGGGCGUGGCGGAAUGGCAGACGCGCUGGUCUUAGGAGCCAGUGUCUAGUACGUAAGGGUUCAAGUCCCUUCGCCCGCACCA
Molecule: transfer RNA, 83 nt
Filed under: Clostridia bacterium
Lineage: Bacteria; Bacillati; Bacillota; Clostridia
Description: tRNA-Leu
Rfam family: tRNA
About the family: Transfer RNA (tRNA) molecules are approximately 80 nucleotides in length.
Source: RNAcentral